GCAUAUCAAUAAGCGGAGGAAAAAGAAACUAACAAGGAUUCCCCUAGUAACUGCGAGUGAAGCGGGAAAAAGCUCAAAUUUAAAAUCUGGCAGUCUUUGGCUGUCCGAGUUGUAAUCUGGAGAAGCGUCUUCCGCCCUGGACCGUGUACAAGUCUCCUGGAACGGAGCGUCAUAGAGGGUGAGAAUCCCGUCUUUGACACGGACUACCAGUGCUUUGUGAUGCGCUCUCAACGAGUCGAGUUGUUUGGGAAUGCAGCUCAAAAUGGGUGGUAAACUCCAUCUAAAGCUAAAUAUUGGCGAGAGACCGAUAGCGAACAAGUACCGUGAGGGAAAGAUGAAAAGCACUUUGGAAAGAGAGUUAAACAGUACGUGAAAUUGCUGAAAGGGAAACGCUUGAAGUCAGUCGCGUUUGCUAGAACUCAGCCUUGCCUCGGCUUGGUGCAUUUUCUAGUGAACGGGCCAGCAUCACUUUUGGCUGCGGGAAAAAGGUCAGAGGAAUGUGGCACCUUCGGGUGUGUUAUAACCUCUGGCUGUAUACCGUGGCUGGGAGUGAGGAACUCAGCACGCCUUCAUGGCGGGGCUUCGGCCACCUUCGUGCUUAGGAUGCUGGCGUAAUGGCUUUAAACGACCCGUCUUGAAACACGGACCAAGGAGUCUAACAUGCCUGCGAGUGUUUGGGUGGAAAAACCCGAGCGCGUAAUGAAAGUGAAAGUUGGGACCUCUGUCGUGGAGGGCACCGACGCCCGGACCAGACCUUCUGUGACGGAUCCGCGGUAGAGCAUGUAUGUUGGGACCCGAAAGAUGGUGAACUAUGCCUGAAUAGGGUGAAGCCAGAGGAAACUCUGGUGGAGGCUCGUAGCGAUUCUGACGUGCAAAUCGAUCGUCAAAUUUGGGUAUAGGGGGCGAAAGACUAAUCGAACCCAUCUAGUAGCUGGGUUCCUGCCGA
This 946-nucleotide ribosomal RNA is filed under the name Riopa metamorphosa. RNAcentral describes it as "partial large subunit ribosomal RNA". It matches the Rfam family "Eukaryotic large subunit ribosomal RNA", at positions 38 to 964 of the family's 3401-position model. The record is from RNAcentral. Lineage: Eukaryota; Fungi; Basidiomycota; Agaricomycetes; Polyporales; Phanerochaetaceae.